GAUGAAGAACGUAGCGAAAUGCGAUAAGUAAUGUGAAUUGCAGAAUUCAGUGAAUCAUCGAGUUUUUGAACGCAUAUUGCGCCCCCUGGUAUUCCGGGGGGCAUGCCUGUCCGAGCGUCAUUACAACCCUCAAGCUCAGCUUGGUGUUGGGCCCCGCCGCCCCGGCGGGCCCUAAAGUCAGUGGCGGUGCCGUCCGGCUCCGAGCGUAGUAAUUCUUCUCGCUCUGGAGGUCCGGUCGUGUGCUCGCCAGCAACCCCCAAUUUUUUUCAGGUUGACCUCGGAUCAGGUAGGGAUACCCGCUGAACUUAAGCAUAUCAAUAAGCGGAGGA
Molecule: unclassified non-coding RNA, 329 nt
Filed under: soil metagenome
Description: partial contains 5.8S ribosomal RNA, internal transcribed spacer 2, and large subunit ribosomal RNA
Rfam family: 5.8S ribosomal RNA (bases 1-120)
Source: RNAcentral